UAGGGAAUCUUCCGCAAUGGACGCAAGUCUGACGGAGCAACGCCGCGUGAGUGAAGAAGGAUUUCGGUUCGUAAAACUCUGUUGUUAGAGAAGAACAGCGCAUAGAGUAACUGUUAUGCGUGUGACGGUAUCUAACCAGAAAGCCACGGCUAACUACGUGCCAGCAGCCGCGGUAAUACGUAGGUGGCAAGCGUUGUCCGGAUUUAUUGGGCGUAAAGCGAGCGCAGGCGGUCAAUUAAGUCUGAUGUGAAAGCCCCCGGCUCAACCGGGGAGGGUCAUUGGACACUGGUUGACUUGAGUGCAGAAGAGGAGAGUGGAAUUCCAUGUGUAGCGGUGAAGUGCGUAGAUAUAUGGAGGAACCCCAGUGGCGAAGGCGACUCUCUGGUCUGUAACUGACGCUGAGGUUCGAAAGCGUGGGUAGCAAACAGG
This 429-nucleotide ribosomal RNA is filed under the name Bacteroidota bacterium. RNAcentral describes it as "Bacteroidetes bacterium partial 16S ribosomal RNA". It matches the Rfam family "Bacterial small subunit ribosomal RNA", at positions 355 to 776 of the family's 1533-position model. The record is from RNAcentral. Lineage: Bacteria; Pseudomonadati; Bacteroidota.